This 372-nucleotide RNase P RNA is filed under the name Liquorilactobacillus vini DSM 20605. RNAcentral's name for it is "Lactobacillus vini DSM 20605 Bacterial RNase P class B". It matches the Rfam family "Bacterial RNase P class B". Rfam says of the family: Ribonuclease P (RNase P) is a ubiquitous endoribonuclease, found in archaea, bacteria and eukarya as well as chloroplasts and mitochondria. Its best characterised activity is the generation of mature 5'-ends of tRNAs by cleaving the 5'-leader elements of precursor-tRNAs. Cellular RNase Ps are ribonucleoproteins. The record is from Rfam by way of RNAcentral. Lineage: Bacteria; Bacillati; Bacillota; Bacilli; Lactobacillales; Lactobacillaceae.
AGUUUCUGGUGAUCGCGGUUCGCCUUUGAGCGGACUGAGGAAAGUCCAAGCUUGCACAGACUGCGAUGUCUGUAGUGAUCGUGCUCGCUGAAAAAAUAAGGCGAGGUACCAUUUGGUAAUGGCAAACAAACGGGCUAAGGCUUUGGCUAUGCUCUAGUAGUUUUGAAAAGUGCCACAGUGACGAAGCAAUAUUGGAAACAGUAUUGAUGGAACGCGGUAAACCCCACGAGCAGGUAACCCAAAUUAUGGUAGGGGCGCUUCAUGCCGGAAAUGAACUAAGCAUGGGGGCAGGCAAUUUGCCUGGAGAUAGAUGAUCGCCACCUUGUUUGAUAUCUCCUGGAUCAUUCAAGGGACGGAACGUGGCUUAUAGAG